Punica granatum (pomegranate) is the source of this 863-nucleotide non-coding RNA. Lineage: Eukaryota; Viridiplantae; Streptophyta; Magnoliopsida; Myrtales; Lythraceae. The record is from RefSeq and is a predicted model, not a curated record.
CCGAAACCCCUCUCCCACCCGCCCUUCUUCCUCUUUUCCUGUCACGAACCCUAAUUUCUCCCCUGCUGAAGUCCUUCCAAUUCGACCUUCGAAUGUCUUCGACGAAAUCUUCGAAGCUAGCUUGCGGUUCUUCCUCUUUUCCUUCCGAGAAGCUAGCUUGUCCAAGCUUCGAUUGCGGUUGCGGACGAAAUCUUCGAUAGUUCCAUUCCAUGGCCGUAGGGCAUAUUGGAAUUUCAAGACCCCCUCUGCCUGGGCCGUAUUUCAUGCAAAUCUUGCUAGUAUUUUCAUUAAUAAGUUGAUGUGUUCUUACUAUUCAGCUCUGCAAUUGAUGUGUUGCUAAUACAAGAAGCAGCUUUUAUAUGACAGCUAGCUCUUGGUUUUUGUUUAGUGAUACUGAGUGUCGCUGAAGUUUGGGGCCCUUAAGAAGCGGCUGAUGUUCAUAAUUGCUUAAUCUUUUCCUAUUGAUGAUUUGAUGCUUACAUACUCGGGGCCGGGGACAGACAGUUGGAAGAAUAGUUGUCGGUUUUGAGUGAAAUAAAAUGGAUAAACUAGAGGAAAAAGUUAUUGGUUUUGCCUUGCUUCCUUCUCAGUGUUCUGUUUGCACCGUAUUCGAAUUACUUUUCCCAAUUGCAUUUGCUGAGCGAGUGUUUGCUACGUCUGUUUGACUAAUUUCUUGUCCUGAAUUCUAAUGCAUGAUUCACUUCAUGGUGGACCGUAUGUGCUAAAUGAGAGUCUCGAGGUUCUCCCAUGUGAUUUUUAUAUGUUGAUGAUCUGGAAAAUGUAAACCUCCUUUAUCUGAUCAUGAUUCUAUGAACAAAGUCAUUUGCUGUUAUAUGUGCUAGUAUGGCUCCAUUUGUAUGCUC